This is a long non-coding RNA of Balaenoptera acutorostrata (minke whale), 2617 nucleotides long. RefSeq lists it as uncharacterized. The transcript has 3 exons. NCBI's taxonomy places the organism in Eukaryota, Metazoa, Chordata, Mammalia, Artiodactyla, Balaenopteridae. The record is from RefSeq and is a predicted model, not a curated record.
UAAGUCCUGUGGGCACAACAAACUGUGACACUUUCUGACACGGGGAAGCUGUCCGAUCCUGAACCUCCUUCACUCUGAGUGUCCCCUCUCCAGCGUGUGUGUGACCCUGUCACCUCCGUUCUCUCCCUGUGGACACACACCCCGAGCCGCGGUUCUCCACUCUCUGCUCAGCUCACGCCACACGCUCCCUCUUGGUGGGUUCUCCUUGGGAUGAAUGACGAUCACUGGCUCCGACCCCUCCUUGGGAUGAAUGACGAUCACUGGCUCCGACCCCUGGUCGACCCCACUGGCUACGACCCCCUUCGUAACCAGGACAGCCCCAAGUGGACGCCCAGCUGCCACUUCAAACUCAGGGGCUCCAGGCAAGCUCACAGAUGCCACCUUCUCCUCUAAGUGCCCUCCCUGCUGCCCUGGGUCCACCAGCGACGCCAGCGCUACCCUCACUCUGUUACAGGCUCAGUUCUGGGAGGCCUGGGAGGAGGGAGAGUGUUAACGCAGCCCACUGGGAAACCAGGCUUGGGCCCUCAGUGGGGCCAUUCCUUUGACCUCAGAGAGGCUUUCGGCAAAAGUACAGAGCCUGACAGCCCAGCCCCUGAGAUGCCCUUGAUGGUCAGAGAAGAGCUGAAUGCCACACCCAAGCUUCUUCACUCGGAGACAGGGCAGCUGUGAGGACCAAGCCGUCACACACAGCAGGGCGAGCCUCUCGGUGCCAGGCUGCAGCCCGGAGUCUGCGGGACUUCUGAAAGCUCCAGGUAAAAAUCCCAGAGCCCUGAGAAGUUAAGUUACUUGCCCUGGGUCACCCAGCGGUGAGUGGCAGCGUGGGACUCGAACUCUGGUCCCUGUGACAGUUUCUGCUCAGCCGAGCUGCCUACGGUUCUGCCUUCUCUGGAGAUAACUUGUCUGUCACCUGCUCUCUCCUCACCUCCCCUGCCAGUAACAGGAUUCCAGUAGUUUUAGCCCAUGGCCUUUUGGAAUCAAGACCAAUGUCCCCAGUCUCCACUGCAGUUAGGUGUGGUCACAUGUCUAAGUUCCAGACAAAGGAGGUAAGUGGAAGCGGUGUAUACAGUUUCUAGGAACUAUCCUUAAAUAGAGGGCUUAUGGUCUUCCUCCUUUUUCUCAACCUUGCUAGCAGGAAUGCAGAUGUGAUGGUUUGAACGGGGGCUACCAUGCUGAAUCAUGCAAAUAUAAGCCAUAUGUUAGAGACGGCAGAGCCACAAAGUAGAAGAAUCUGGAGAGAGAUUCGUGGAAGAUGCCCUGGGAUGCCCAUAUUUACAAUUCUAUUUUGGUUAAGCCACUACAAUUUAGCAUUUAUCUUUCAUGGCCAAAACAAAUUCAACCAGUGCAGAUGUCCAGCAGAGUCUGGGGCUUAGGGCAGAUCUGGCAGUCAUCAGUAUAAACAAAGGCUCCCAGGUGAGGGAUUAGGCUUAUGCCUGCUCUCUCUGGAGGCAGUACAAACACAGAUGCCCUUCUGUGUCCUCACAGCCCAUGGCAGGUAAGGGACAGAUAUCUUUCCACUGCCUCUGCAUCCUUUGCCAAGUUCUGAGUGCUCCCUGGGGUCAGGGCUCCACAUAGCCAUAACAGGGAUGCCAGGGCACCUUACAGACUAAAGACGAGGCUGGAGUGAGGACCUGAGGACACUGUGUUACCAAAACACUAAUUAUAAAUAGGGAAAUAAAAAUGUAAACAACCACACCAACAUUACCCUAGAACUUCCUCGGUAGAGAUGGCAAAGCUGAUCAAAUGCUUGGAUCUGCUGUGGAUCCAGAACAGGUUCUGAGGUUGCCUGAGAAAUCAAAAACAAUAAGGUUAAUAAUAACACCCAUGGGCAGCCUCUGUAUUUGGUCAGCGGUGAAACAGGAUGCAGUGCUUCCUUCACUCCUAUGAAGAAAAUCCAUGCUACCAGCAACUGAUAAGAUAUUUUACUGAACAUGAAUUAGAAAUGGCCGUGUGCCUCCUCACGCCCUUGGUGCCAGCUCCAGGCCGACAACCUCCCUAUGGCCCCUUCCCACGUGGUCUCCAGAUUCUCCAUACUUAAAAACGAGCUUCCCCUGGGGCUUCUCGGUCCCUCUUGGCCUUUACUCUGCAGAAUAAUUUAGCUGCACCCUGCCUGGCACCCCCAGCACUGAAUACGGCCAGCAAAGAUGCCCCUUCUUUGUGCUGCCGGUGGAGGUACGUUAUACAUGAAAAAGCAUGUCAUUUCCCUGCCUCAUUAUAAAGCUGGUAGCCACCUAAGGGGCUGAGAUUUUAGUCUGGUUUUGGGAGAGGGGGAGUCUAACUUGCUUCUCCAGCAGUCUCGCUUUGUUCCACUGGUUACUGCGCCCAACACUGUGGUCCUACUCUCAGUGGAUCCGAUCCAACUCACAGCUAGAGGAAGAAAUGGGAUCCUGGCAGAGGCCGCCAUAGGCUUUGGAGUCAGAGGUGAACCGGAAUACCAGUUCUGACACCAACCUGCUACGUGACCUUAGGCAAGUUCCUGCUCUGACUUGUGAGACAGGAUAUUGCUUCCUUAUGAGGUUACUGAACAUUAAAUUAGAUGAGAUCCGUAUUUAAAGUGUCUUUUACCUGCUUGCCCCCGCCCCGUAAAGGCUCAGUAUAUGCUGGGGUUUUUUUUGUUUUU